GGUGAAUUACGGUUGAACAGACAUAUAGCGCAAAUUCCAGUUUUUGUUUACAUUUUGUUUUGAUCAGAAUGUGCACUAUUGACUCCGUCCUGAAGGGGUUAAAUCCAAGUCUUUUUUAUUAGUAAAUAACAUGUGCAAGUGGACAGAGGUACAUAAACAAAGCAGCCUAGUUUAUCACGGACAGCUAAUCAGGUGUAAUAAUGAAUGUUUUUCCUCUCAAAAUAGCUUCUAAUAGACAUCAUUGGAAAAUUAUCUUCUCAAUUAGGUCAACUGAAUGACAUUUCUUCAGUCAUGUAUUUGAAUAUUUGGUCAUAUAUUUCAAAAAUUCAGUUCCAGAUUUCCUUUUAUUUUUGCAUCUGGAGAUGCUGAAAUACUGUCUAGAAUCUCACUUAAUAACCCUGAUGCAGUUUCUUUGUAGAGAUUGGAAAACGCUCCAGUAUAUCCUUAUGGGGACCUUAGACAUGUUCUGUAAAAAGAGCAACAGGAAAUUAAACUAACUGGAAUUGCACUGACAAUGAAUACACAGCUUUAAUAUCUCCCAAAAUCUUACAGAAUACACUACAUCCACUCAAAUAAAGAUCACACACCAAGACCAUAUGGGGAAAAAAGGUUUGAAAAGAAAGCAUUACCCUUUGUUUAAACCAACAUAAAAUGCUUACUUUAAAAAUAGCAAAUACAUUCUCCUGUCUCCAUUCAUGAGUUAAGGUUUCUGUUCAGCGCAGUAUAAAUGAUAAAUGGAAGCAACAGUUCUCUCCAACCUCCAACUGCCACCACUAUUUCCACUGCCUGAUUUAGACAGUCGCUGACUAUUCUUAUAAUUGCAUUUAUGUGGAUGACACAUAAAUGUGCUUUAAGGGAAACCCUAUAGGUGUGAAUGACAAUAAUUCACACUGAAAAUAGCCUGGGCUAAUUUCAGAAGCAUUUACAGCAGAAAUAUACCUUGGUGUUUCUUUAUGG
This is a non-coding RNA of Pelobates cultripes (western spadefoot toad), 957 nucleotides long. The record is from the annotation of a GenBank genome assembly. NCBI's taxonomy places the organism in Eukaryota, Metazoa, Chordata, Amphibia, Anura, Pelobatidae.